This 240-nucleotide unclassified non-coding RNA is filed under the name soil metagenome. RNAcentral describes it as "partial contains 5.8S ribosomal RNA, internal transcribed spacer 2, and large subunit ribosomal RNA". The record is from RNAcentral.
AAGACUAUAGACCUGCGGAGUACCUGCGGAGGGAUCAUUACAAAUUGUGCCCCGGCCUUGCGUUGGUGGGCUACAAACUAGAAACCUUCCGAAAGGGAGGCUAUAGUUGUUAACUCUUUGUGAAACUUAUACCUUUUGCUUCGGCAGCACUCUCAGCGGGCAACCACUGGAGAGGUAAGGCUGCCAGAGGCCCAUAUUAAAACCAGUUGAUGAAAUGUCAUGCUGUCUGAUAACCACUUU